RNAcentral lists this unclassified non-coding RNA (401 nucleotides) under soil metagenome. RNAcentral's name for it is "partial contains 5.8S ribosomal RNA, internal transcribed spacer 2, and large subunit ribosomal RNA". The stretch from base 1 to 120 matches the Rfam family "5.8S ribosomal RNA", at positions 36 to 154 of the family's 154-position model. The record is from RNAcentral.
AUGAAGAACGCAGCGAAAUGCGAUAAGUAAUGUGAAUUGCAGAAUUCAGUGAAUCAUCGAAUCUUUGAACGCACCUUGCGCCCUUUGGCUAUUCCGAAGGGCAUGCCUGUUUGAGUAUCGUGAACACCUCAACUCUCAUGGUUUGCCAUGAUGAGCUUGGACUUUGGGGGUUUUGCUGGCCUUUGGUCGGCUCCUCUCAAACGGAUCAGCUUUCCAGUGUUUGGUGGCGUCACGGGUGUGAUAACUAUCUACGCCUGUGGGUUUCUGCCAGAUAACCUUCAGCGAUGGAGGUUCGCUGGGGCUCAUAAAUGUCUCUCUUCAGUGGAGACAGCUUUUUGGACGUUUGAUCUCAAAUCAGGUAGGACUACCCGCUGAACUUAAGCAUAUCAAUAAGCGGAGGA